UUUCCGUAGGUGAACCUGCGGAAGGAUCAUUAAAAAAUUGGACUCCAUUGGUGAGUUCAUUAAUAAUCCCUACCCUUUGUGAAUUUGUUUGUUUGAAUAAUUUUUUUUCCAAAAAAAAUUACUGAAUGUCUUUCCUUGUUUUGGUGGAGCUUGUAAAGUGAAACCAGGCAGGGGAAUGGCAAACAAUAAUUAUUUUUGAAAAAGACCUUUUUUUAAAAUUAAACUUUUUGUAUUCAUUUGUCUAAAAUUAAUUUUUAUAAUAUAAAAACAACUUUUGACAAUGGAUCUCUUGGUUCUCGCAACGAUGAAGAACGCAGCAAAAUGCGAUAAGUAGUGUGAAUUGCAGAAUACGUGAAUCGUCGAAUCUUCGAACGCAUAUUGCACUUUUUUAGUUUACUAAAAAAGUAUGUCUGUUUGAGUAUCAGUAAAAUAUUCUCAUAAAAAACAUUGUUUUUUUUAUGGUUAUGAGUGUUUUACAACGAUAACAAGUUGUUUCACUUUAAAUUCUUUGUUAUCAAAAAAUCAUUAAAAGCUAAUUUUAAAGAUUUUUUAAAAUUGGAUAAAAUUUUCCCGUAAAAAGGAAUAACCUAAACAAUUUUAAAAAAUUAAAAUUGGUUUGAUUUUUUUUGAAACCCAAAGGAAAAAAAAACGAAAUUAACUUGAUCUCAAAUCAGAUAAGAGUACCCGCUGAACUUAAGCAUAUCAAUAAGCGGAGGAAAAGAAACUAACUAGGAUUCCCUCAGUAACGGCGAGUGAAGCGGGAAGAGCUCAAAUUUGAAAUCUUCAAGGUUUUACCUUGACGAAUUGUAGUUUAAAGAAGUGUUUUCUGUUGGAGUUUUGGUAAAAGUUCUUUGGAAAAGGACAUCAUAGAGGGUGAGAAUCCCGUAUUUGACCAUUAUCUCCAGCUUUGUGAUACACUUUCAAAGAGUCGGAUUGUUUGGGAAUGCAGUCCAAAAUGGGUGGUAAAUUUCAUCUAAAGCUAAAUACUGGCGAGAGACCGAUAGCGAACAAGUACCGUGAGGGAAAGAUGAAAAGAACUUUGAAAAGAGAGUUAAACAGUACGUGAAAUUGUCAAAAGGGAAGCGUUUGACACCAGUGUUGUUUUCUCGAAAAUCAAUUAAAAAAGGCCGGAUUUUGUGUUGUAUUGACUUUAUCAGCUUUCUGCACUCUUUUCUUGUCUUUUUUAAUGCACUUUUCGUUUAACAAGUCAACAUCAAUUUCUUUUGUUGUAAAAGGGUCAUUGGAAGGUGGCUUUCUUUUCGGAGAAAGUGUUUAUAGCCUUUGGCCUCUGCAAUCGGAGAGAUUGAGGUCUGCAGCGUAGAUCCUUCGGGGUUAGAUACAUUUGUGCUAAGUUAUAGCCUUUCAUAGACAACUUGUUGACUAUGAUCAGUCAUGUAGCUUACUCGCUUAUGCUAUUUUACCUACGCUUAGGAUGUUG
RNAcentral lists this unclassified non-coding RNA (1438 nucleotides) under uncultured Neocallimastigales. RNAcentral's name for it is "partial contains small subunit ribosomal RNA, internal transcribed spacer 1, 5.8S ribosomal RNA, internal transcribed spacer 2, and large subunit ribosomal RNA". The stretch from base 661 to 1438 matches the Rfam family "Eukaryotic large subunit ribosomal RNA", at positions 1 to 628 of the family's 3401-position model. Lineage: Eukaryota; Fungi; Neocallimastigomycota; Neocallimastigomycetes; Neocallimastigales. The record is from RNAcentral.